AGAGAAAUAGCUCAGUGGUAGAGCACAUGCUUAGCAUGCAUGAGGUCCUGGGUUCAAUCCCCAAUACCUCCA
RNAcentral lists this transfer RNA (72 nucleotides) under Camelus bactrianus (Bactrian camel). It matches the Rfam family "tRNA". Rfam says of the family: Transfer RNA (tRNA) molecules are approximately 80 nucleotides in length. Their secondary structure includes four short double-helical elements and three loops (D, anti-codon, and T loops). The record is from Rfam by way of RNAcentral. RNAcentral also lists the same sequence under 2 other names. Lineage: Eukaryota; Metazoa; Chordata; Mammalia; Artiodactyla; Camelidae.